UUAAAUGGCAGAAUGUCGUGUGAUUAAGACAGACAUGGAAUUGGAAGUUCUGCGCUACACCAAUAAAAUCUCCAGUGAAGCUCAUAAAGAGGUAAUGAAAGCAGUAAAAGCUGGUAUGAAAGAAUAUGAGCUGGAGAGGUAAGAAUUAUUUCAAUAAAUGUAAUAAAAAUGGAAAGGUCUGUUUGUAUUAGGAGU
Non-coding RNA from Meleagris gallopavo (turkey), 195 nucleotides. NCBI's taxonomy places the organism in Eukaryota, Metazoa, Chordata, Aves, Galliformes, Phasianidae. The record is from RefSeq and is a predicted model, not a curated record.